Pelobates cultripes (western spadefoot toad) is the source of this 526-nucleotide non-coding RNA. Lineage: Eukaryota; Metazoa; Chordata; Amphibia; Anura; Pelobatidae. The record is from the annotation of a GenBank genome assembly.
CUAUGUCGUAUAGUAAUAAAGUAAUCAAACUGCAAUAAGUUCCUUGCAGGACUAAGACUGCCUCCACUCGCUCUCUAUCAGACAGUCACUAGAGGCGCUUCUGGGAUUCUAGGGGACUCAGAUUGGCGCUGGAAUCAGGUAAGGUUUUUUGUUUGUUUUUUAAACCCUUUGAGGGAGGGAUGAGAUCAGAGGGCACUAUAGUGUUAGGAUUACGGAUGUAUUCCUAACACGAUCGAAUCCUUUUAAAGUAAGGGGUAUUUUCCAGACUAAUUCAAAAUGAUCAGGUACCUAGUGACUAGCAAAUGUGAGGUUCAGUUUGAAAUUUUGAAAAUAGUUAACACAUAAUAUAGAUAAAAACCUCAGAGUGGGAAGUAAAUUACCCCACUAGCUUUUUAGUAAUAAACUUGUUAGAGCAGGGAAUUCAUCUAAUUAUUGUUCCUGUAUCAUUUUGUAAAUGUCUCAUUGUUACAUAUCCCCCUGUUCAGAAUAUUGUUAAGUGCUGCGGAAUACAUUGGCACUAUAUAAA